This 223-nucleotide long non-coding RNA is filed under the name Nicotiana benthamiana. RNAcentral describes it as "long non-coding RNA (NBEN_LNC036270)". The record is from RNAcentral. Lineage: Eukaryota; Viridiplantae; Streptophyta; Magnoliopsida; Solanales; Solanaceae.
GAAGUCUGCUGGGUUGUUUGUCCGUUCUGAACCUGAAAUAUUGAACUAUCAUCCUGGGUUUUGGAGCUGUUUUCUGGUUGUUUGUUGUUGGUUUUUACUGCUGAACCUGCUGAUAUUACAUUGCUCUACUGACCCUCUCCCUUUCCUCUUACUUUGCUUUCUAGGUACACAACUAUGUAACCAUAUCGACUAUGAAGUAGGAAUUUGAAGAAUGAAUUGAUUG